GUGGUGCUGGCAUAAUCUUUAUGGAACAGGAGGCAACGCUAUUCAGAGAUAACCACCAAGGCAGAAUGUUGGCGUGUGGAAGUACCUCUACUCAGAGUGAUAGAGAAAACUAUGGCUCUGCUUUUACUGAAGGAAUGGCUACCGGAGCGGGCAGCUUUAUGAAUAUAAGGUGAAAAGGAUGUAUGGAGAAGUUUUGGGAGAGUCAGACAGUCCACGGAACUUGCAAUGACUUAGCAAUGAUCUAUGCCAGACGUACAACCCCUGCUGUCAUUGGUGAUACCACUGCUUGAAAAUAUAUCA
Long non-coding RNA from Sardina pilchardus (European sardine), 300 nucleotides. RefSeq lists it as uncharacterized. Lineage: Eukaryota; Metazoa; Chordata; Actinopteri; Clupeiformes; Clupeidae. The transcript is spliced from 4 exons. The record is from RefSeq and is a predicted model, not a curated record.